This 205-nucleotide long non-coding RNA is filed under the name Lathyrus oleraceus (garden pea). Its description in RNAcentral is "Pisum sativum (pea) long non-coding RNA (PSAT_LNC012920)". The record is from RNAcentral. Lineage: Eukaryota; Viridiplantae; Streptophyta; Magnoliopsida; Fabales; Fabaceae.
UUAGGGUUAAGGUGGAUUAGACACACCUCAACAUGGCCAUAGGGUCUUGAAGCUUCACAGGUGAAUCCCAUGCCUUGAGUUUGUGGAUUAUUAAGGGUCAUUAAGUACAAAUGCAUAUGAGAUGACAUGUAUAGGAUGUAUGCUCAUGGAUUAGGAUUCAAGAAGGUGAAGUGAGAGUAGGGUAAAUUUGAGGGUAUGUCAGUUG